This 8218-nucleotide long non-coding RNA is filed under the name Triticum aestivum (bread wheat). Its description in RNAcentral is "long non-coding RNA (TAES_LNC020975)". Lineage: Eukaryota; Viridiplantae; Streptophyta; Magnoliopsida; Poales; Poaceae. The record is from RNAcentral.
GCGGUGGCGGCGGACAUGUCCGGCCGGUGGUGGGGAGUUUUGUCCGACGGCGCGAGGAGCGGGGCUAGGGUUUCAUCUGCGUGAAAAAAUUGGGAGGCACACAUAUAUAUAGGUAGAGGGAGCUAGGAGAGUCCAAAUGAGGUGCGGUUUGCGGCCACGCGAUCGUGAUCGAACGACCGAGAUGAUGGAGGAGGUUUAGAUGGGUUUUGGGCCACUUUGGAGGGGUGUUGGGCUGCAACACACACGAGGCCUUUUCGGUCCCUCGGUUAACCGUUGGAGUAUCAAACGAAGUCCAAAUGGCACGAAACUUGACAGGCGGUCUACCGGUAGUAAACCAAGGCCGCAUGACAAGUCUCGGUCCAAUCCGAAAACGUUUAACACCCGGACACGAAAAGAGGUAGAAAGGACCACUGGAGGACAUAGGAGCACCGGAUUGCAAAGCGGAUAACGGGGAAAAUGCUCAGAUGCAUGAGACGAACAUGAAUGCAAAUGAAAUGCACAUGAUGAGAUGAUAUGCAAAGCGUGACACGCAAUCAAUGACAAGGCAACAACAGAGAAUAACUGAAGGACACCUUGCACAUCGGUCUCGGGGCGUUACAACACUCCACCACUACAAAAGGAUCUCGUCGCGAGAUCUUGAAUGGCACCGGAGGGAAAAUGGAAGAGAAAGAGAAGAGGUAAAACUAAGUUGCUUCUUUGACAAACGAGUGAAACCAAAGAACCUUGCAAUGGUUAAGCCAUUUCGAGAAAAGAAUACAACGGAGAUGAACAAAGUUGAAAGUACUCCGUUAGGAAAGAGGAACAAGGAAGAACCGAUUCGGGUAGCACUUCGGUUGAAAAGAGAUGAAAGACUUGAUAAAAUGAAAGAGCUUGAGCAAAAGGACACAACCAUCCGGUUAAAUGGAUAAACCAAGAAAAGAACACGAUCCUGACAAAACGAAAAGAUGGGUUGAAGAGAGCAACAUCACAAAGCCUUCGGAACAAAAGUAAGAAUGGAAUGGAAUGAACGACGAGAAACAAGAUCUUGAGGGAGCACGCUUACAACAAAUGCUAGAACGGAGUUGUUGGAAAACCAACAACGAAAAAACAAGGUUUUAGUGGGCUUAUGGAGCACAUCUCAAAAUUACGAGAUGAAAUUCUGCCACUAACGAAAACAAUAGAUUGGAUUGAUAUAAACAAGGAGACGAGAAACUAUUUCACCGAGAGGGUAAAAGAAGAACUUGGGUCAAACAUAAGCUCCAUAAAUAGCAAGAAUCCUUAGGGAAAGCUUUAGGUGAAAUAUAAACCAAGAUAACUCAAAUGAGGAGAUUGAUGGGUUUAAAUACCUCAUUCUUAACAACAUGUGAAUCAUGAAACAUGAACUCAAAUUAUCAAGAAUGACAUAAUACCACCUCCAAUGAUACGGAAGAAAGAAUUGCACUCUGGAUAGCAAGAUGGAGAAUGCUUGAGCUCCUCUGAAUAGAAUCUUGAUGAACACUUUGAGAAGGAAUUAAAACCUUUAUGAACCAACAUGUAGAGCCUCCAUGAAGAACUCUGGUAAACAAAAGGAUAAUGAAAAGAAAGAGAAGUUGAAAACACAAGGUGAAACCUUGCAAUGAUUUGAUGGAUCUUUGGAAUGAUAUAAUUGAAAUAACUUUGAGCUCCGGAAAAGAAAGAUGGACAACUUGAAUCGAGAAUUUGAUGAACCUCCGGAAUAAGGAAUUAAUCACUUGGGUGAAACAAGAGUAAGAAUUAUGUUAUGCGUAUCCUUCACCAAUUAAAUUGAUGAACAUCAACGGAUUUGACAUAUUACUUAUUCUCGUAGAAAGGAUUAAGAUAGAUAUAGCGUCAACUUGGAAGGUCUUCAAUGAACCACCGGUAGGAUUAGGAAACAAUGAAUGAAUUGGUAUGAUAAGGAAGGAAGAGAAAUCUUAAAUGAACCACUGUAAGGAUUGAAAAUGAACGAAGAUAACAUAAAGAAACACCGGGAAGAAUUAGCAAAUGAGCGAAGAUGCUUGAGAGAAUUUAGAUACAUGAGAACGAAGAGAUCAAGAGCUGGUAAUAGAAUACUUGAAUGAUGCACCGGUAAGAUUUAGAGAAAGAGAGUUGAAAGUUGAGAAUUAAUAAAUCUGAGAUGAUGGACUCCAGAUGAUCAAACUGAAAAGACUCCUGAAUUGCUCUGGAUAGGUGAAAAGAAUUUUCGCGAUCAAAACAAUUACGAGAGGAUGGCCUUGAACUAGAACCACGAAUCUCUGAGAGAACGGAUAAGAUAUGGAUGUAAACUCUUCUUCGAUCUUCAAAAUCCGAGAAAAACUACGAGAAACACCACCAAAUUGUUGAGGCACUCCGGGAUGAAGAAUAGAAAGGUUGGUCCAACGAUGAAAAGAGUUUGGAAGAUCUUGGAGAAGGCAUUUGGCUGAUGAUAAUUCAUUCUUACGUCAAACUUGGAAAAGAAUUUCAGAGUAACUCCGGGAAGAUUAGAAGAGUCAGGUAAGAUCCUGGAAAAAGACCUGUGGGUUAGGGCCCACUCAAAAGAAACACCGUUGAAAUGAUUUAUAAGAGAGGUUGCACUGAUUGAAUUAAAUGAGUUGAGUGAGAUAACAACCUCGAAAGAUCUUGAACGAAUGUAGAGUGGAAAACACGAAUCUUCGAGAUAUCUUGAGCACUCCGGAACAAAUGGAUAGCGAGAGGUGAAUAAUUAAGAAGUGAACCGGCAAGAGAAAACAUUUGGAACGAGGAAAAGAUAUGAUCGACAAGGCUUGACUUGAAUCCACUGGAGAAGAAAAAGAACGAAUAAUGAUGAACUAGAAGCUCCAUUAGAAUCUUCAUGAGAAAACACCGGGUAAGAACAUUGAAAGGAAAGAAAGAAGAGACUUCACAACAAUAAAAUGAUACUUGAUUGAGAUAUAUGAGUCCUUCAAGUCAAGCAAGGGUGGGAGGGUGGGAAAACAAAGGCAACUUGGGAUGGAUGAAACAAACAACAUUAAGAGCUUAGAUUGAAUCUUGCGGAUGUUGAAAAUGGAGGGAUCCGCUUGAAGAGAAGCACACCGGUUGAAAAGAAAUUGAAAUGACAAACUCGAUGAUCGAGAAGGAUUAGUAUUCACAUAGAAAUAUGAGAACACCGCUUAGGAAAGGUAUGGAAUCAACACUUGACUUCGAAGCAACUCGAAUACCACAACUCGAAACAAAGGAUUGGCUCGCUGAAUAAGCCAGAACAAACAUAUGACAGAGAUUUCGUCCGAAGUUUUCGUGGUGGGGCCUACACGGGCUCGAUCGUACAACACCAUCAUGUACAAGGCAGUGCACAUGACAUACGAAGCGUCCCCGAGUCGGCAUAGCCAAGGACUCUUUAAGACACAACGAGACCACUGUAAAACCAACCGUGGAUAGGCAGACCACUAGACGUCGAACCCCAAUAUCAUAUCAUACAUUUGUCGGGAAGAUAUCCUAGGAGCUACUUGAAUUCCCACUUAUAAACUCCCGAAACUUCCCGGUUAUGCAAUCAGGUGUUGGGGAUACAGGGGAAGCAUAAUAUCUCACCCAAACUAGCAAAUCCUACAUCCAGCUGUAUCCAUCCUUCAACACAUAACCAAGAAACCUUCAGAAAUCGUCUACCUCAACCUUCAAAAAGCAUCCAUUAUACGAGUUAUGGCAAUACUCCCGAACUCCCGCCCCAGUACUGGGUGGCGUCGAGGUUAUCUCACCAACAACUGCAUAAAAGAGAUUUUUGAUGUCGGCGAAACUAAUCUCAGGUAUUCCAGAACUGCAACGAUAAAAUUGUGACAACAACACCUCGGAGCUCAACUCCCCGGGACACGGCACAACCCCUAAAUGUCAGGAGGCACCAAGAACAAUGUUCUCGUCACAAAACCAUCGGAACAAUUCCAAGAUACCCGCAUGAUCCUAAUUUUUUUUAGUGAAAUUUGAGAAGAGAAGAGUCAAAACUCUACGUCAGGAUGCCUCACCAGAGCGAUGAAGGGACUGGGGAGUAAAAAGAAUUCCUAACUCUCUGAUAUAUAUAAUCCUAAAUGACUCAAAACAUUUUUCUAGACUCAACAACGCCAACGAUUCGAUCAAGCAGGGGGCUCCUAAGGUCGGGGAUGGCUCUGAUACCAACUUGUAACGCCCUCGAUGCGACUAUAUCUCCCACGUGUCGAAGCACGACUUAGAGGCAUAACCGCAUUGAAAGCAAUGUCGCAAGUGAGGUAAUCUUCACACAACCCAUGUAAUACAUACGGGAAAGAGAUACAACGUUGGCUUACAAUCUCCACUUCACACAAUUACAUGAAUAAAGCAUUACAUGAACCAGAUACAAUCAAGGUCCGAUUACGAAACCAAAAUAAAAGAAGACUACCACAAAAGCUACGCAGAUCCCCGAUCGUCCCGACCGGGCUCCACUUCUGAUCAACUAGAACGAAGCAACACAAAAGACAAGAUCUUCAUCGAGCUCCUCCUUGAGCUUGGUUGCGUCACCUGCUCGGUAACAUCGGCACCUGCAAACUGGUUUUGGAAGUAUCUGUGAGUCACGGGGACUCAGCAAUCUCACACCCUCGCGAUCAAGACUAUUUAAGCUCAUAUGUAAGGUAAAAGGUAUGAGGUGGAGCUGCAGCAAGCGACUAGCAUAUAUGGUGGCUAACAUACGCAAAAGAGAGUGAGAAGAGAAGGCAAGGCACGAUCGAGAAACUAUGAUCAGGAAGUGAUCCUAGAACAACCUACGUCAAGCAUUACUCCAACACCGUGUUCACUUCCCGGACCCUGCUGAGAAGAGACCAUCACGGUUACACACACGGUUGAUGCAUUUUAAUUAAGAUCAACUUCAGGUUUUCUACAACCGGACAUUAACAAAUUCCCAUCUGCCCAUAACCGCGGGCACGGCUUUCGAAAGUUCAUAACACUGCAGGGGUGUCCCAACUUAGCCCAUCACAAGCUCUCAUGGUCAACGAAGGAUAUUCCUUCUCCCGAGACAUUCUGAUCAGACUCGGCAUCCCGAUUACAAGACAUCCUCGACAAUGGUAAAACAAGUCCAGCAACACCACCCGAAUGUGCCGACAAAUCCCGAUAGGAGCUGCACAUAUCUCGUUCUCAGGGCACACUCAGAUGAGCUCUCCAUACAACUAACAUCAAACCUCGAGUUUCCNNNNNNNNNNNNNNNNNNNNNNNNNNNNNNNNNNNNNNNNNNNNNNNNNNNNNNNNNNNNNNNNNNNNNNNNNNNNNNNNNNNNNNNNNNNNNNNNNNNNNNNNNNNNNNNNNNNNNNNNNNNNNNNNNNNNNNNNNNNNNNNNNNNNNNNNNNNNNNNNNNNNNNNNNNNNNNNNNNNNNNNNNNNNNNNNNNNNNNNNNNNNNNNNNNNNNNNNNNNNNNNNNNNNNNNNNNNNNNNNNNNNNNNNNNNNNCCUGGGCAGGCCUACCCAAGGGAAAGAAAAGGCUAGGUGGCGAAUGGUAAAACCAAUGUUGGGCAUUGCUGGAGGAGUUUUAUUCGAGGUGAACUGUCAAGGGGUUCCCAUUAUAACCCAACCGCGUAAGGAACGCAAAAUCCGGGAACAUAACACCGAUAUGACAGAAACUAGGGCGGCAAGAGUGGAACAAAACACCAGGCAUAAGGCUGAGCCUUCCACCCUUUACCAAGUAUAUAGAUGCAUUAAUUAAAUAAGAGAUAUUGUGAUAUCCCAACAAAAUAUCCAUGUUCCCACAUGGAACAAGCUCCAAUCUUCAUCUGCAACUAACAACGCUAUAAGAGGGGCUGAGCAAAGCGGUAACAUAGCCAAAACAACGGUUUGCUAGGACAAGGUGGGUUAGAGGCUUGGUUCAACAAUAUAGGAGGCAUGAUUAGCAAGUGGUAGGUAUCGCAGUAUAGGCAUAGCAAAAGAGCGAGCAACUAGCAAGCAAAGAUAGAAGUGAUUUCGAGGGUAUGGUCAUCUUGCCUGAAAUCUCGCAAGGAAAAAGAACGAGUCCAUGAAGAAGACAAACGGACGUAGUCGAACGGGUCCUCAAAAACGUGACGUUAACGGAACCAACCCGAAGAAGCUACACCGGAAAAAAGCACACAACAUAGUAAACAACCAACACAUGAACAUGAUAUGAUAUGUGGGAUGCAGUAUGCGGUGCAUAUGCAUGAUUUGACAAGGAAUUAUUGAACCUGGCCUCAACUUGGAAAUCCAAGAGUGCCACUGGAAAGGUGAGGUGAUUUCGGUUGAAAUCAAUAAUAAAGAUCACCGGAAUCGGAUGCACGGUUUGGAAAUGGCAAGCAAAACAAAUAUGGCACCGGUCUGCGAUUAACAGCAAGUGACCAUCUAAAUGCAACAAGAUAAAUAUGCUACAACACUCAAACAUGGCAACAAAAUACAUGGCAGGGAUCCACUCAUGAUGCUUAACAAAAGAUGAACACUGAGCUACAGCUAAUUCACUCAAUAACAGGUUCAAACAAGCAUGGCAGAAGUGCAAAAGAUAACAGGUUUCAGACUUAGUGAAAUUAACACAUGUCUGGAAUUUAUCAUCAGGUAGCAAUCUUUAGAGCAUGAAAACUACAUGCUACAGGAACAUAACAUGGCAAAGCAAGGCAUGAAAUGAAGCUACUCAAAGCACUUAACAAAAGUCCCUUAGUGACCUUGAGCCAAAAGGGAUCAGAAAAUAGAAUUGCAAGCAUGUGAACAUGGCAAAAACAUAAACAGAUUCAGACUUAGUGAAAAACUGGAGCAUACAAAACAGUUAACGAGUAGACAUGUUUACGAGCUCGAUGCACUCACUACAGAGCAUUGCAUGACAAACUAAGCAUACACCCAUGAAGAAGACAUGGCAUAGAAACUAGACAUGGCAAGAACAACAACAUAGCAUGCACGGAUCAACAACAACAGCCUCGGCAAAAUCGCUAAACAUGUCAAUGAUCUGCCAGGAACAUUUUAUAGCAAAAGUAGAGCUCGAUUGGCUCAAGCUAGGGUGCUCCAUAAUUGCAAACAAAGACAUGGAUAGAUAUAGCACAACAAUAUUAACAAAACAUCCAUACUGAUCAUCCUCAAAAGAGGCAUGGAUCACUAGAAAACAACAUGAACAUAUGGCAUAACAACAAAAUCAGGACAAGGACUUAGAGAAAUUCUAAGUCCCUGAAAUCAGCAUUACCGAUUACGCUACUUUGCAUGCUCGUGCUAGUCACCACAAAUAUCAUGAAAAUACAUGGCAUACACCCCUGUAAAGAUGGCAUGGCAUAUUACAAAACACAUGUAGAGCUCAGGAUCAUAGCAUGCACACAUUAAUUAUGGCAAAAAUGACAAAAUGGCAUUUGCUGAAACAGAUCUGACAAAAUCCUCACAUAGCCCUCUUCCAACGACAUUUCGGGCAUCAAGAUGAGCUCAAAUGAAAAUGAUGCAAUGAGAUCGAAUGAUGUACUCGUCGAGACGAACAUUUUGAUAUGCUACACGCACGAAUUGGAGCCACGGUGAGGGAGUUAUGAUGCAAUGAAAAAUGCCAAAAAGAUUAGGGUUCGGAGGGAAAAGUCAACCGAGUGGAAUCUCCAGAUCCAGAUCUGGAUCGCACGCGGACCGAUGUGCUCGCCGAGAAGUCGCCGAAAACGAAGAUGGUGGUGGUCGGAGCUGCACCAGCUCGCCGGAGAGGAGGGCUCGCCGGCCGGAGCUCACGCCGGAGCUCGCGGGAGAGGAGGCCGGAGUGGAGGCGCGGUGGAGGAGGAGGCCCGCGGCGGUGGGGCGCCUGGCGGCGGUGGCGGGGCCACGCCGGCAAAGGGCGGCGCCGGCGGGAAGGAGGCGAGGCGCGGUGGCGAUAGCCGGAGGCGGCGAGGCAUGCCGGCGAGCAGCGGUGGCCGGCGGGAGAGGAGUCGUGGCGCGACGCUCUCCUCGGGUGGCGGCGGCGAUGUUUGGGCCCCGCGGGCCGGCGGCGGGGCUGAGGAGAGAGAGGCGGCGGUGGGAUAGGUGGCGAUCUCCGAUUCGCCCGGGGCGGCGGCGCGGUGACAUGGCGUGCUCCGAUAGGCCGGAGUGAGGUGGCGGUGGCGGCGGAUAUGUCCGGCCGGUGGUGGGGAGUUUUGUCCGGCGGCGCGAGGAGCGGGGCUAGGGUUUCAUCUGCGCGAAAAAUUCGGGAGGCACACAUAUAUAUAGGUAGAGGGAGCUAGGAGAGUCCAAAUGAGGUGUGGUUUGCGGCCACGCGAUUAUGAUCAAACGACCGAGAUGAUGGAGGAGGUUUAGGUGGGUUUUGGGCCACUUUGGAGGGGUGUUGGGCUGCAACACACACGAGGCCUUUU